Molecule: ribosomal RNA, 826 nt
Filed under: Pyricularia urashimae
Lineage: Eukaryota; Fungi; Ascomycota; Sordariomycetes; Magnaporthales; Pyriculariaceae
Description: eukaryotic LSU rRNA
Rfam family: Eukaryotic large subunit ribosomal RNA
Source: RNAcentral
ACGGCGAGUGAAGCGGCAACAGCUCAAAUUUGAAAUCUGGCCCCCCGGCCCGAGUUGUAAUUUGCAGAGGAUGCUUUUGGUGAGGCACCUACCGAGUCCCCUGGAAUGGGGCGCCAUAGAGGGUGAGAGCCCCGUAUGGUAGGACGCCGAGCCUCUGUAAAGCUCCUUCGACGAGUCGAGUAGUUUGGGAAUGCUGCUCUAAAUGGGAGGUAAAUUUCUUCUAAAGCUAAAUACCGGCCAGAGACCGAUAGCGCACAAGUAGAGUGAUCGAAAGAUGAAAAGCACUUUGAAAAGAGGGUUAAAAAGUACGUGAAAUUGUUGAAAGGGAAGCGCUUGUGACCAGACUUGCGCCGGGCGGAUCAUCCAGCGUUCUCGCUGGUGCACUCCGCCCGGUUCAGGCCAGCAUCGGCUUUCGCCGGGGGACAAAGGCUUCGGGAACGUGGCUCCUUUCGGGGAGUGUUAUAGCCCGUUGCGUAAUACCCCGGCGGGGACCGACGACCGCGCUUCGGCAAGGAUGCUGGCGUAAUGGUCAUCAGCGACCCGUCUUGAAACACGGACCGAGGAGUCAAGCAUUAGUGCGAGUGUUUGGGUGUAAAACCCGCACGCGUAAUGAAAGUGAACGUAGGUGAGAGCUUCGGCGCAUCAUCGACCGAUCCUGAUGUUUUCGGAAGGAUUUGAGUAGGAGCAUUAACGCUUGGACCCGAAAGAUGGUGAACUAUACUUGAAUAGGGUGAAGCCAGAGGAAACUCUGGUGGAGGCUCGCAGCGGUUCUGACGUGCAAAUCGAUCGUCAAAUUUGAGUAUAGGGGCGAAAGACUAAUCGAACC